UAUACGCAGUGCUGAUGUUUCAGACGCCUGUGAAAGGAACAUAGGACGAAUUUCCUUAUAGAUGUCAGAUCACUGACAAAAAAAAAAAAAAAAAAAAAGAAAGAAAGAAAGAAGAAGAAGAAAACAGCUGGCCUCUUGAACCCACACUAGCAGAUACUGUCUAUCUGGAAAGGCGAGCCUGAGGCCUCAGGCCCUUCACAUCACAUCUUUGCUGGAAGAGGGGCCAAAUUAUGGUCAGCACCCCUUACCCCCAAGGGUGCUCUCACAGAGGAGCUUUGAUUUUUAAUGAGAAGUCCUUUCCCCAAGGCUGAGCAUUGCAGCACGAAACCUGUGUGGCAGAGCCAAGCUGUAGGUGCUUGCUGUCUGCUGGCUGGAAGUGUACAGCUCAGUGGCCACACGCAAGGGCAGGUGGGCAGAUGCACGAGGUGGGACACUGAUUACUGCUUAGCCAGUGACAGCCUGGCAUCAGGAACUAAAGCCUUGCUCAGAUGUGAUUUUUAUAAGCACUCGUUUUUCAGGAAGCAAAGGUGAUAUGCCAAAUAGCUGUAUAAUGUCAAAACAGAGACUUCCUGAACACUUUGAGGUUUUCCACUCAGAAAAAAAAGGAAGUUAUCAAAAUAGGAAGCUGUUGAGGGUGCAUGCAGACUCUUGCUAUGUCACAUCCAGCAAGUGUGGUAUGUGGCUUUCAUAAUCUAUUUACGUUUACUCAUUCCUUUCAGUAUCUCAAGGUAUAGAAUCAGAGAUACCACAGUCACAAGGACCUUUUUAACCUGUAAAAUUGUGUGAUGAUGCUUACUUACCAUAUGGAAAUACGGACUAGGAAUCUGGCCCCACCUCACCAGACAGGAAUUUCAAGUGAUUCCUCUCUCAUAGUCAGUGUCAUGAUGUCUCUGUGAACCCCUCCUGUCAUUGCAUCACUGGUUGCCACUAGUGGGUGGCAAAAAAAAAAAGAAAAAAAAAAGAAAAGAAAAAAAGACAAAAAAAAAAAAGGAAAAAAAAGUCUUAUAUUGCUGUAUUAGGGUUUCUGCAGUUGAUAUUGAAAAACUGGUCCAGUGUGUCACAGCAGGCGACUGAUGGUGCAUACCUGUCUCUGUGUCCCCUUCAGUGAGCUGUAGUUGUGGGUUUGUGUGCUUUGUAGCCUGUUAUACGGAAAGCAACAGACAAUCGAAGAUUCCAGGAGUGCUAACUAACAGCUGCAAGUCACAGACGGGGAGUGUAACAAGUGGAAGCUUGCCUGAGGGCUUCUGUUUCUGUUCUACUUUUCAUUAAGACUGGAGUCAAGCUUACAUGUAAACUAUUGGUGAUUUAAGUUUCCUUUUGUGUCAUUUUUGUGUAAAACUGUCUAAUUUGAAAAAAAUGUAGCUUAUGAAAAAUAAAGAUUUAGGCACUGUUC
RNAcentral lists this long non-coding RNA (1393 nucleotides) under Mus musculus (house mouse). Its description in RNAcentral is "long non-coding RNA chr13:9173011-9174404". Lineage: Eukaryota; Metazoa; Chordata; Mammalia; Rodentia; Muridae. The record is from RNAcentral.